CCCUUAGAUGUCCUGGGCCGCACGCGUGCUACACUGACGCAUACAGCGAGUACUCCCGGCUCCGCAAUGGCAGCUGGUAAUCAUCAAUAUGCGUCGUGAUGGGGAUAGAUCUCUGGAAUUUUUGAUCUUGAACGAGGAAUGCCUAGUAAGCGCAGGUCAUCAGCCUGCGUUGAUUAAGUCCCUGCCCUUUGUACACACCGCCCGUCGCUCCUACCGAUUUCGAGUGGUCCGGUGAACCUUUCGGACCGGGAGCAGCCUCGUGCUGCGCCUGGAAAGUCAAGUAAACCAUAUCACUUAGAGGAAGGAGAAGUCGUAACA
Molecule: ribosomal RNA, 318 nt
Filed under: uncultured eukaryote
Lineage: Eukaryota
Description: partial 18S ribosomal RNA
Rfam family: Eukaryotic small subunit ribosomal RNA
Source: RNAcentral